Molecule: ribosomal RNA, 253 nt
Filed under: uncultured bacterium
Lineage: Bacteria
Description: partial 16S ribosomal RNA
Rfam family: Bacterial small subunit ribosomal RNA
Source: RNAcentral
UACAGAGGGGGCAAGCGUUAUUCGGAAUUAUUGGGCGUAAAGGGCGCGUAGGCGGCUUUGCAAGUGGCGGGUGAAAUCCCUCGGCUUAACCGAGGAACUGCCUGUCAAACUGCAUGGCUUGAGACCGGGAGAGGUGAGUGGAAUUCCUGGUGUAGCGGUGAAAUGCGCAGAUAUCAGGAAGAACACCCGUGGCGAAGGCGGCUCUCUGGGACGGUACUGACGCUGAGGCACGAAAGCGUGGGGAGCAAACAGG